AACGCUGGCGGCGUGCCUAAUACAUGCAAGUCGAACGGUCUUUCUAUGGAAGCUUGCUUCCACUGAGAAGAUAGUGGCGAACGGGUGAGUAACAACGUGGGUAACCUGCCCAUAAGAGGGGGAUAACAUCCGGAAACGGGUGCUAAUACCGCAUAGUUUUCUUGAUCGCAUGAUCGGGAAAGGAAAGACGGCCUUUGUGCUGUCGCUUAUGGAUGGACCCGCGGCGUAUUAGUUAGUUGGUGAGGUAACGGCUCACCAAGACGAUGAUACGUAGCCGACCUGAGAGGGUGAUCGGCCACAUUGGGACUGAGACACGGCCCAAACUCCUACGGGAGGCAGCAGUAGGGAAUCUUCCGCAAUGGACGAAAGUCUGACGGAGCAACGCCGCGUGAGUGAAGAAAAGGUUUUCGGAUCGUAAAACUCUGUUGUCAGAGAAGAACAAGUUGGAGAGUAACUGCUCCAGCCUUGACGGUAUCUGACCAGAAAGCCACGGCUAACUACGUGCCAGCCGCCGC
This 515-nucleotide ribosomal RNA is filed under the name uncultured bacterium. RNAcentral describes it as "bacterial SSU rRNA". It matches the Rfam family "Bacterial small subunit ribosomal RNA", at positions 32 to 518 of the family's 1533-position model. The record is from RNAcentral.